Physcomitrium patens is the source of this 2234-nucleotide non-coding RNA. The record is from RefSeq and is a predicted model, not a curated record. NCBI's taxonomy places the organism in Eukaryota, Viridiplantae, Streptophyta, Bryopsida, Funariales, Funariaceae.
ACUGGGUACUCUCUGGCCCCAUGGCAGGUUUUGUUUUCCAGCCACCGUAGAAGGACGUUGGUACUGGGACGUUGUCUUCCCAGUCGAGUCCCGCCGCUGGGCGGAGGCCUGACGGUCUCCUAAGUUAAGGUGGGUCACCGUCAGUGGUAUGCAUAGUAAAGUUAAUCGAGUCAGUCCGUCCCACCCAGGCCGCAUGCGGCUGGGUUGGCUGUAAUUUAUGGUCCCACAAGACAAUGAAGUAUCUCUCAGUUUGUUUCAAAAAAAAAAAAAAAACACGUCCCGCGGGCCGGACGUGAUUGCACGUCACGCCUUGGCAGCGAGCGAGGUGUUGCGAGGGUCACUUUGAUCGAUCGGAGGCGACUGAUCAAAUGGGUCAUGUACAACUGAAUGUGUUUGGCUGUUUGCUGGGGUGUUGCUGUGCCUUUCCGGGCUCCUCCACGGUGUGGACUUGCGGCCUCAUAAGGUGUCAUCGGACGAGAGUACGUUUCUUCAGAGGAAUUGCACAUUCAGUGUCGGCAUUGAAGUUGGCUGGAACGCAGGUCCUUUGGCAAGCGUGGAGAAACGACACCCCCGCAGCAAACUUGCCGAACUGGGGGAAUUAUUCUUAUAGCCCUUGCGAAUGGGGAGGAAUCAAGUGCGAAAUUAGGAACACAACCACGAAAUUGAACGUUCUAGUAAUCACUCAACUGGAUUUGUGGGAGAAGGGAAUAGCGGGCGUUGUUCCGCCUGAAAUAUGCUUGCUGAGCAACCUUGAAUUCAUGAGCCUGGCCAGGAACAAAUUCAGAGGCCAAGUACCAGAUGUCUCUUUUUUGUACAGCCUGGAAGCUUUGUGAGCGUAAUCGCCUCUGCCCAUAAGUACUAUCUUCAAAAUCCAUUGAAUAAGUGGUUAUUUAGAGCAGGGAUCUUUGGAGAAUUAUCAAUUGGUAAUUUUAUAUAUCAUUUGAAGCAAUGCUCGGGUUAAUCUCAUUCUCUGUGUAGAAAAAUCUUUUGCUUAUUCUUGUUGCAGGAUCCUGGCAUGGAACAACUUCACAGGCCAUGCACCAACUGUCUCUUCCUUACACAGCCUGAAGUACUUCAACACUAAACAAAAAUACUUCCGCCUCACCCUCUCUGCCACUUCAUCAUUCCGUUGCAAACUCCUUGUCCCCUACACAUCCCCAAUCCCUCUUUGACACUAUAAAUCUGCCGUUAUAUUGAAUAUGAUGUUUCCGCCAAAACUAUCUUACUGGAAGUACUUUAGCAAGAGUACUAGGAUCUUCUGAGAGUCUUCAGAACCGCAUAUUGGAUAAAACGACACAAUUUUGGUACCGAAAUUGUGACUCUGAGGAGAUUAAAAGUAUUGAAUUCUUAUUAUGAAGGUGGAUUCAGGUUUCAUACAGAUGCAUGAUAUCCUACCAAGCUCACUGAAAUCUGCUCUUUUAUCAAAUAUGAGGUUUCAGUCUCAGUUUGUUCAUUUAUCUUUUGAAGCAAUACUAGGGCGAUUCUCAUUCUCCAUGUUGCUAAAUCUUUUGCGUCAUCUUGCUUCAGGGACCUGUCUGCGAACAACUUCACGGGCCAAGCACCAGAUGUGUCUUCCUUAUUCAACCUGACUUACUUGGACCUGUCUAAGAACAACUUCACAGGCCAAACACCAGAUCUCUCUUAUUUGUACAAUCUAGUAAAUUUGUGAGUGUAAACUACACACGUGUACUUCUGCCGAUACUGCGUGAUUCGAUGGUUAGGCUGAGUAGGGGCUUCCUAAAUCAAUGAGACAGUUUAUUUUUUCUCUUGAUGCUGUGGUCGAUUGGGCUACCCAUUCUCCAUGCCACAAAAGGAGAUGCAUAAAUUGUAAUGCUGAAGGCACCUGUCUGCGAAAAACUUCAUGGGCCAAGCACCAAAUUAUGCUCUGAUGACCGGUCUGAUAGACUUGAAUCUAACGUGGAACAAUUUUGAAGGCCUUCCACCACAAGUUUCUCCCAACUUCACCUUCCCGUUUUCAGUGUGUACCACUUUCAAAUGGAAUUUAUGGAGUCAAAAUUUCUAGGAAUCUCUUUGGAUGAGAAAUUUUGUAGGAUGCUUUCCAAUAUUCAUGGAAAUUGAAACUAUUGAAGAAAGAGAAAUUAAAAGAUAGAACAUUUAGCAUCAGCAAGGUAUAUACAAAAUAAAGUGUAGAAUAAGAUGAUUCUCACUUCCAAUACUUUUUACUUAUAAUUAGAUUUUACAUCAAUAAUAGAUGAAUUUAAUCAUUUUUAUCA